UACGUAGGGGGCAAGCGUUGUCCGGAAUUAUUGGGCGUAAAGCGCGUGUAGGCGGUCCGGUAAGUCCGCUGUGAAAGUCGGGGGCUCAACCCUCGGAUGCCGGUGGAUACUGUCGGGCUUGAGUACGGAAGAGGCGAGUGGAAUUCCUGGUGUAGCGGUGAAAUGCGCAGAUAUCAGGAGGAACACCAAUUGCGAAGGCAGCUCGCUGGGACGUUACUGACGCUGAGACGCGAAAGCGUGGGUAGCGAACAGG
RNAcentral lists this ribosomal RNA (253 nucleotides) under uncultured bacterium. Its description in RNAcentral is "partial 16S ribosomal RNA". It matches the Rfam family "Bacterial small subunit ribosomal RNA", at positions 524 to 776 of the family's 1533-position model. The record is from RNAcentral.